GACGAACGCUGGCGGCGUGCUUAACACAUGCAAGUCGAGCGGCAAGGCCCUUUCGGGGGUACACGAGCGGCGAACGGGUGAGUAACACGUGGGUGACCUGCCCUCAGCUCUGGGAUAAGCCUGGGAAACUGGGUCUAAUACCGGAUAUGACUUCGCAUCGCAUGGUGUGGGGUGGAAAGUUUUUCGGCUGGGGAUGGGCCCGCGGCCUAUCAGCUUGUUGGUGGGGUGAUGGCCACCAAGGCGACGACGGGUAGCCGGCCUGAGAGGGCGACCGGCCACACUGGGACUGAGACACGGCCCAGACUCCUACGGGAGGCAGCAGUGGGGAAUAUUGCGCAAUGGGCGGAAGCCUGACGCAGCGACGCCGCGUGGGGA
This 375-nucleotide ribosomal RNA is filed under the name uncultured bacterium. Its description in RNAcentral is "bacterial SSU rRNA". It matches the Rfam family "Bacterial small subunit ribosomal RNA", at positions 28 to 407 of the family's 1533-position model. The record is from RNAcentral.